Molecule: ribosomal RNA, 37 nt
Filed under: Sinocyclocheilus rhinocerous
Lineage: Eukaryota; Metazoa; Chordata; Actinopteri; Cypriniformes; Cyprinidae
Source: RNAcentral
GUCUGCGCCCGGUCUCGUCUGAUCUUGGAAGCUAAGC